This 494-nucleotide ribosomal RNA is filed under the name uncultured bacterium. RNAcentral describes it as "bacterial SSU rRNA". It matches the Rfam family "Bacterial small subunit ribosomal RNA", at positions 29 to 518 of the family's 1533-position model. The record is from RNAcentral.
AUGAACGCUAGCGACAGGCCUAACACAUGCAAGUCGAGGGGCAGCACAAGGAGCAAUCUGAGGUGGCGACCGGCGCACGGGUGAGUAACACGUAUGCAACCUGCCUGUAAGCGGGGAAUAACCCGUUGAAAGACGGACUAAUACCGCAUAAUACUAAAUUACUGCAUGGUAAUUAUUUAAACAUUUAUGGCUUACAGAUGGGCAUGCGCAUGAUUAGCUAGUUGGAGAGGUAACGGCUCCCCAAGGCAACGAUCAUUAGGGGUUCUGAGAGGAAGGUCCCCCACACUGGUACUGAGACACGGACCAGACUCCUACGGGAGGCAGCAGUGAGGAAUAUUGGUCAAUGGACGAGAGUCUGAACCAGCCAAGUCGCGUGCAGGAAGAAUGUCCUAAUGGAUUGUAAACUGCUUUUGCAGGGGAAUAAAGUGCAUCACGUGUGAUGUUUUGUAUGUACUCUGCGAAUAAGGAUCGGCUAACUCUGUGCCAGCCGCCGC